GUCUGCUACCUUCAUCGUCUUCCUCCCCUAUUUUUCUCUUUGCAAGCACCACUCCACCUAAACCAAAGGAUCAGUACCACUAUGAUAGACUACCCGGAUAAGAAUAAUCUUAGAAGCUGGAGGUGUCGAUGUUGCUGAAGAGCCUUGGAGAGUCAGUUACCAGAGUUGUGAGUCAUCAAAGCUAGAAGCAUGUGGUGGAGACCUAGAACCAGGAGGUGGCAGUCCUUAUCAAAACAUAGAGGAAGCCGAUAGUGUUGGCAUCCAAAGCUACUCUCUGUUGUGCUUAUCUAGAAUUAAAAUCUGACCUCUUUGCCAUACACUAUAAAUAUCCAGGUCUGUUCUAUUUUCUUUAUUGCGUUCCCCUAUAUUUGUUUACAAAAGAAGGAGUGAGGGAAGGAGAAAUUUUGAGACUAAGGAGGAACCUGAGAAGUAUAAACUAAUUUCCAAAACAAGGUAGGGGGAUCUGGGGAAACCUCUAUUUAAUUUGUUUGGUUGCUGUGUUGCUAUAUGUGAUUUUAAUUAUGAAAUUUGAUUGAUGCAUGUUCAUGAAGGUUGAGGCAUGGUUUUGAUAGAAUAGAAUGGGAAUGAAAUAUGUGGGAGUAUUCUUUUGUGUAGUUGAGCUUAAUCCGUAAGGACCAAAUUUCAGGUGGGCUAAUAGAGCUGUACGAUUUUGGUGAUCGAGAUUAAGUAAGAUGACUAGCAAAAAGGGAAUCAUGGUUUGGGUUGUGGGGUUAAUUCAUAUGUUAUUUCAUCUAGAGUCACCUCAAAAAGGUAAAUUACAUGGUAUGGGACAUGUAGACUCUUUGUGUCUUAGCAUGUGAGUUAACAGGUAAUAGAUGAAAAUAGCAUUGCAUACGUCCAUGUAUUACUGUUUUGAUUGUUACUGGUUUGUGUUGUUUAUUUAAAGAGGUUUAGCCUCCUACUGAGUUGUUGAUGCUCACCCCUAUCAAAUAUUGCAGGUACUGAACAUGAAGUUUAAUUUUCCCUUUUGAAGAGCUUGUGAUUAAUAUGAAGGAAGUGUGAGACUUGUUUUG
RNAcentral lists this long non-coding RNA (1034 nucleotides) under Rosa chinensis. Its description in RNAcentral is "sRNA RchiOBHm_Chr5g0010111". The record is from RNAcentral. Lineage: Eukaryota; Viridiplantae; Streptophyta; Magnoliopsida; Rosales; Rosaceae.